This 253-nucleotide ribosomal RNA is filed under the name uncultured bacterium. Its description in RNAcentral is "partial 16S ribosomal RNA". It matches the Rfam family "Bacterial small subunit ribosomal RNA", at positions 524 to 776 of the family's 1533-position model. The record is from RNAcentral.
GACGAGGGGUCCUAGCGUUGUUCGGAAUCACUGGGCGUAAAGCGUAUGUAGGCGGCCUGUUAAGUCAGUUGUGAAAUCCCACGGCUCAACCGUGGAAUUGCAAUUGAAACUGGCGGGCUUGAGUGCAGGAGAGGUUGGUAGAAUACCUAGUGUAGUGGUGAAAUACGUAGAUAUUAGGUGGAAUACCGGUGGCGAAGGCGGCCAACUGGCCUAGCACUGAUGCUGAGAUACGAAAGCGUGGGGAUCAAACAGG